RNAcentral lists this long non-coding RNA (495 nucleotides) under Citrus x clementina. RNAcentral's name for it is "Citrus clementina (C. clementina) long non-coding RNA (CCLE_LNC003241)". The record is from RNAcentral. Lineage: Eukaryota; Viridiplantae; Streptophyta; Magnoliopsida; Sapindales; Rutaceae.
UAAACAAAUUUAUCUGAUUGUUAUAGUCAGUUUCAAAAAGAAUUUAAUAAAAUCUUUUGUCUAGUGUCAACCAUAAAUGAUUAAUGAUAAUUUUUUUUCAUGAUGGUUGUAGAUUUUAAUAUACACAUUUUGAUAUAUUUGAUAAUUUGAUUUAGUUUCUUUUAUGCACUCUUUCUUUAAUCAUAAAUUGUUUAAUACGCUGUGGGGCUAUUCUGCUAAUAACAAAUAAAUUUUUUUAAAAAGCACAGAAUAAGAACAAGAAUUGAUUAAUUUUUUAUUACCAAAAAUGAGUGAACAAAGGAUGAGCGAGAUGCCAUGUGGCAUCAGUGGUGACGGGCAACUGGAUGAUCAUGAAUAUCUGGUGUUAAUUAAAAGUCAAAAUUGGAACUCCGUAUGAGGUGGAGACAAGUAUUCAGCAAUGAUGGCUACACCGUUAUGACAGUAACAGUAACGGUUUUUUUUUGGCUUAAAUACCAUUUUCUGUUGAGUUAAAUG